This 408-nucleotide long non-coding RNA is filed under the name Equus caballus (horse). RNAcentral's name for it is "lncRNA (ENSECAG00000057311.1)". The record is from RNAcentral. Lineage: Eukaryota; Metazoa; Chordata; Mammalia; Perissodactyla; Equidae.
CUCAUCUGAAAUCAAAACUAGGCCUUCUCUGACACCUACUCCAAAAGGGAAUAUUUCUCUUGCUGAUUCUCCAGGAAUCUGCUCAAGGCUAUAAGGCGCAAAAGUUGUAGAGCCAAAUUGCUGGAUUUCUGCAAUUUGUCAAUCAACACAGUACUGACUAAUACAAGUUAUGAUCAUGGUCUGCUUUACAUCAUAACUAAUGGUGCUCAGGGAAGAAGGAAAAGGAGCACACCUGGCAGAUGAGGAAAUUGAAGCACAAAGAAGUGAGAUAACUAACAAGGAUACAGGGCAGGUAGGUGGCGGAACAAGGAUUCAAACCAUAUCUUUUUGCUCUCAUGCUCAAACUCAUCAUGCUUUACUAUUUCCAAAAUGAGAACCAAACUGGAAAAACCUCAAAGAGAAAUAAAA